CAUUCACAACUCAAAAUUGCAAUCUUUCUUAUUAUUAAAAAAUAUUUGCAAUCUUUUUUAGUCAUUCAAAGAGACUAUGGCUCGUUCCAUUUACUUCAUGGCAUUUCUUGCCUUGGCAAUGACACUCUUUGUUGCCCACGAGGUGCAAGGUCAGAACAUUUGCAAAAUAAAA
This is a long non-coding RNA of Capsicum annuum, 172 nucleotides long. RefSeq lists it as uncharacterized. The transcript is spliced from 2 exons. NCBI's taxonomy places the organism in Eukaryota, Viridiplantae, Streptophyta, Magnoliopsida, Solanales, Solanaceae. The record is from RefSeq and is a predicted model, not a curated record.